This is a long non-coding RNA of Cydia fagiglandana, 469 nucleotides long. RefSeq lists it as uncharacterized. Lineage: Eukaryota; Metazoa; Arthropoda; Insecta; Lepidoptera; Tortricidae. The record is from RefSeq and is a predicted model, not a curated record. The transcript is spliced from 2 exons.
AACAGUUUAUUUUACCCUCGCCAUUUUGCGGAUUUUCAAUGGUACUAAUUUCUUUUACUGGCAACAAGUACUCUUUGACAACGAACGUUGGAUAUCAUCGAAUGUCACCGAUAUAAACAAACCGAAAAUAUCUACGAAUAUAUUCAAAUAUAAACGGUUUUAUUACAAAAAUGCUCAAAAAUAUUUCCAAAGAUGCGAAAAAAAUUGUAGUGAAUGCAAUCAAAUACUUACAGCUUAAAAAAGACGAAGGAUUACAUAGCAUUCCAAUAAACAAUGUUUUAAAGUUGGUUGUUGACAUGACCGGUAUUGACAUUUUAUAGUACGGUUGUAUUGAACUGGUUUAAGUAGAUCGACGAUAAAAAAUAUUUCUAAAAAUAAUGAGACGGUCUUGACUUUGCCCCAUGUACAAAACAAAGCCCCACACAAAAAGAGAAUUCAAAUAGACGACUUCGACAAAUGUGCCAUAAGG